Staphylococcus capitis is the source of this 101-nucleotide non-coding RNA. The record is from Rfam. Lineage: Bacteria; Bacillati; Bacillota; Bacilli; Caryophanales; Staphylococcaceae.
GAUUAAGUUAUUAAGGGCGCAUGGUGGAUGCCUUGGCACUAGAAGCCGAAGAAGGACGUUACUAACGACGAUAUGCUUUGGGUAGCUGUAAGUAAGCGUUU